Molecule: ribosomal RNA, 498 nt
Filed under: uncultured bacterium
Lineage: Bacteria
Description: bacterial SSU rRNA
Rfam family: Bacterial small subunit ribosomal RNA
Source: RNAcentral
AGAGUUUGAUCAUGGCUCAGAACGUACGCUGGCGGCACGCCUAACACAUGCAAGUCGAACGAAGUAGCAAUACUUAGUGGCAGACGGGUGAGUAACAUGUAGGUAUCUGCCCUUUGGCCUGGAAUAACACGAGGAAACUUGUGCUAAUACCGGAUAAGUCUUUACGGAGAAAGCUUUAUGCACCAUUGGAUGAGCCUGCACUUGAUUAGUUUGUUGGUGGGGUAAUGGCCUACCAAGACUGUGAUCAAUAGCUGAUUUGAGAGGAUGAUCAGCCACAUUGGGACUGAGACACGGCCCAAACUCCUACGGGAGGCAGCAGUGGGGAAUCUUGCACAAUGGAGGAAACUCUGAUGCAGCGAUGCCGCGUGAGUGAAGAAGGCCUUCGGGUUGUAAAGCUCUUUCACAAGAGAAGAAAUCUUACUAUCAAAUAAAUAGUAAGGAUGACGGUAUCUUGAGAAGAAGCACCGGCUAACUACGUGCCAGCCGCCGCGGUAAUAC